CUCUACCUGAAGACCCAGCUAUGCAUACCACUCCUAGGCAUAUACCCAAAAGAUGUUCCAACACAUAACAAGGACACAUGCUCCACUAUGUUCAUAGCAGCCUUAUUUAUAAUAACUAGAAGCUGGAAACAGCCCAGAUGUCCCUCAAUAGAAGAAUGGAUACAGAAAAUGUGGUACAUUUACACAAUGGAAUACUAUUCAGCUAUUAAAAAUGACAGCUUCACAUACUUUGUAGGCAAAUGAGUGGAACUGGAAAAUAACAUCCAGAGUGAGGUAACCCAGACCCAAAAGAACAUACAUGGUAUGUACUCACUGAUACGUAGAUAUUAUCCCAAAAGCUCAGAAUACCCACAAUACAACUCAAGGACCAUAUAAAGCUUAACAAGAAGGAAGGCCAAAACAUUGAUGUUUCAAACCCAUUUAGAAGGUGGACCAAAAUAAUUAUGGGAGGCAGAAGGAGAGAAGGACCUGGGUGGGAGAGGGGAGGCGAAGGGAAAAAAGGGAGCAGGACCAGGUAUGGGAAGAGAUAAGAGAGAAGUCCAGAGGGCCAGGAGAACAAGUAGAAAUAAGUAGCAGUGACUGGUGAGGAACUUGGGGAACCAUUAGAAAGGUCCAGAUGCCAGGGAUGUGAGAGGCUCCUAGGACCCACAGUAGAUAGACAUGGCCCCCAGUGAAGGGAUGGGGCCACCCAUCCAUCUCAAAAGUUUUUAACCCAGAAUUGUCCCUGUCUAAAGGAAAUGCAG
This 743-nucleotide long non-coding RNA is filed under the name Rattus norvegicus (Norway rat). Its description in RNAcentral is "long non-coding RNA NONRATT013049". The record is from RNAcentral. Lineage: Eukaryota; Metazoa; Chordata; Mammalia; Rodentia; Muridae.